UGCUGACUGGAAUGUGAUGCCCUGUAUGUGCCUUUCCACUCACACGGCCUCCUCUGCAACCCUCCUUUGGGAUGACUUAAAUACUACAAACCACAGGGGCACUGGGACCUCCCAGGUCCCUCUUGUAGUCUGAAACUCCAGACUGGUGAUGCAUGACAUUGGUGCUCACACCACUGCAUGGUGUCACACCUGGCACUCAGGAAGCCCACAGGAUAAAGCAUGCCCUGUCUUUACCAGCUCAUAAUGGGUAGCUGGGCAUUAGAGAGCUCCCAGAGCCUGGGACUUAACAACCUCCUCAGGAUGAGUGAGGAGGAGUGGCAUUCCAUGGUGUUCUGUCCCACCUAGACAGAAACUAGAGCACCAGACAAGAGCUGUAACUGCAGGGGAGUAGUAUGGACUUCCCAGUAGUGUGUAACCUUUGGUUCAGGAAGUAUCACAAGUGUCUGUCUCUGCAGAGCCUGGUUUCACAAGCUCAGAAGUGCAUCCCUUGAGCAAUGGACGUGUACUCAUUUCACACCAACAGCUACAAGCAGCCCACACCCAGCUCCAGUCUUCAGCAGGUGGUUCUGGUUUGAAAUAUGAUUAGCAAUCUGAACAAAACCAUGGAGCUAAGAAUAAAAGAGGCAAUUAGGGUUACAUUCAGGUCUCCAGUUAAAAAGAAAACAAGACAAAACACUUUCAACUUCAGAUGGGACACGGCACCCCAGAUUUUGUGUCACAAUGAAAUGAGGACUUCUAAGCUGAGACAAGCCUCAGCUGAAAUAGGAAUGCAAACCCCUACCAGAAUCUAGCAGAAGAGAAACAAAGAAAGGAACAUGUUCCACCUAAAUGAGUCUUCUUUCCAGUCACCCUUGUGAAGGACUGCCCUAUGGAAAUGGUUCAGAAGAUUUAAAACAUCUUGCAGUGAAGUAGGUCAUGCACUUCAGAGCCAUUGAAAAUGUAUGGUGCUCCAAAAUCUAAAAUAAACGAAUACCAAAUGUUUCCA
RNAcentral lists this long non-coding RNA (985 nucleotides) under Cyanistes caeruleus (blue tit). RNAcentral's name for it is "lncRNA (ENSCCEG00000003161.1)". The record is from RNAcentral. Lineage: Eukaryota; Metazoa; Chordata; Aves; Passeriformes; Paridae.